AGUCGUAACAAGGUUUCCGUAGGUGAACCUGCGGAAGGAUCAUUCACAUGAAAGGAGUACGUCAGUACGACUGAUGACUGACAUCGUAAGAUGGAAGGAGUCGGUGAAAUCUCCGUAAGGAGAUGAGCCUAUGCGAACAUCCGACGUAAGGAGGAUGGAAGCAUUUGCGAAAUGCGAAGCAUUGAGCUGGCGACCGUCUAGGGAGCCUAUGUAUUGCGAGAUGAGUAUCAUCGAGCUUGUAAUGCGACCGUUUAGGGAGCUUUUGAGUACUAUGACGGAUGUCUCCUUCGGAGGUAUCUUGAGUAUACAGCUCAUUCACCUAGUGUCGGUCCUCCUUUCGGAGGUACUCUCCACGGUGAAUUCGCAUAAGCUCGAUACUCUGUAUCUCGCUGCUGCUCCAUACUUAGCAUGUCGCCAUAGGCUCCACCACCUUACGGUGGUAGUCGCUUGGCUCCCUCUGGUCACCAUUGUUCCUGAGCUUGGGUGAGAUGAUCCGCUGAAUUUAAGCAUAUAAUUAAGCGGCAGAAA
RNAcentral lists this ribosomal RNA (528 nucleotides) under Babesia caballi. Its description in RNAcentral is "eukaryotic LSU rRNA". The stretch from base 1 to 45 matches the Rfam family "Eukaryotic small subunit ribosomal RNA", at positions 1787 to 1831 of the family's 1831-position model. The record is from RNAcentral. Lineage: Eukaryota; Apicomplexa; Aconoidasida; Piroplasmida; Babesiidae.